Non-coding RNA from Agelaius phoeniceus (red-winged blackbird), 6365 nucleotides. NCBI's taxonomy places the organism in Eukaryota, Metazoa, Chordata, Aves, Passeriformes, Icteridae. The record is from RefSeq and is a predicted model, not a curated record.
CGCGGUCGUUGGCGGGCGCACGGGGCCGGCUAGCCGAGGGCAGCGCGGCCUCGCUGGCAGAGCCGCUCCCUCGGUGGGGAGGAAUCGCGAUCCUGCCAGGCAGGAGGCCAUUGCUGAAAAGGGACUUCAGGGAGUGAGUGCAGGAUGACUCAGCAGGGAGCUGUUCUUCAGGGUUACAAUAAUGAACUAGUGAAAUGCAUUGAAGAUUUAUGUAUGCAGAAAGAAGAACUGAACAAACAAAUCCAGCAAGCAGAAGAGGAAAAGAAUAAACUCCAGCAUGAAAUCCAAGUCCUCAGCGAACAGCUGGAGUGUGUAUGUGAAAACCUGGCCCAAAAAGUGGCUUCACGGAAUGAGCUUGAUAAAAUACUUGCUGAAACUGAAGCUGCUUACAUGAAGAUUUUGGAUAGUUCUAGAACUUUACUUAAUGUCCUGAAGAAAGAAGUGGGAAGCUUAAAGCAUUCACCAGAUCUGAAAACCAAUGUAACGUGAAACAGUCAAAUGUUUGGACUCUGCAGUGCUAAAAUUCCACUAGGUGCUUACCCUGCUGUUAGGUGCUUCCCACAUGCAGUUGCUGUUAAUCACCUUACAGGAAUGGAGGUGAGUGGACUGGGGGUUCACCCUGAUUUUAAGGGUAGGGAAUAAAGAGAAUUUAUGGAUGUGAAGUCCUGGUUAGGGACUGCAGCAUGAGGUGGUAGGAUAGAGAGGUGGAGGUUCUCCUGAUUCCUGUCUGCUCUAAGUGUACUUGUACUGAGCUACUGCCUACAGUUCUUGCUACCCAAUAAAUCAAAUUCCAGAAAUCAUCUGAGCUUCAUCGUAGCUCUGGACAUUCUCCCCCUUCCUUUAAGCCCACGGAUGGUCAGCAAAAGAGGCAAUCUGUGUUUUGUUUUCUCUUUCUGUCUUUUAUUUCUUUCUGUUCCAGCAGGAGGCUGUGCAGUCUGAGCCUCCUGUUUCCUGGAUUCAGGUUGUUCGAGUUCAAAUACCUGUGGCCAAAAAUACAGAUGCCCACGUUCUACUGAAGCCCACAAGCCUAUACACCCUGCAUGACAAGGCAUCCCAGCUCCUGAGCAGCCACUUUCACUUUCCAGACCUGCUGUUUUCAAGCCCCUGCUUUGGGACCUGUAGGAGGUGGGGCAGAGGAACAGAAAGAGCUUUUAAUGAUAGUUGCUAAUUAAUUACCUUUCAAAGCCUAACCUUUUUCAGGUACCUUGUCUUUAUAGACCCUAUUGUUUUAUCAGGCUGCUUAUUACCUUAUACUAGUCCAUGUAAGACCACCAGGUUUUUUAGGCAUGGAGGCUCCUUGAUGCUUAAAGGUAGUGGGAGGUCUGAAUUCUAGUCCAUCUAUAACAGCAUACAGAGCACAUAUAACAGCAGCAGGCUGUGAGGUAACCAUAUUCCAGCACAGCUUGUUUUGGGUUAAUGGAUUGAGGUAGUAUGGCAAGGGAGAAACUCUAGAUAUCUGGAUGGAUGGGGCUCUUCUGUAUUGAAAAUAAGCUGGCUGCAUGAAUUCAGGUUAAGAACCUAGGACAGGUGGCCCCUGACAGCAGUAUUCAUAUAUUCACAUAUCAUAUGUAUGUAUAUGUAUGUGUGUGUGUAUACUCACACAUACAUUAAAAUGUAUAUAUAAAUAUGCUCAGCAUUUUCGUAAGUAUAGAGAAAGCUGUCUAAUACUUCAGUAUUAUCUGCCAUUAGAAAAGACAAUUUAAACAGGUUGGACAUUAACAACUUGCAUGAGGUUGUGUACUCUGUUUUUUCAGUAGUCUUUGCAGUCUUGCUUCCACAUAAGCCAUCAUUUGUAGCACCAUCCUCAUCUUCCUCCUGCAACAGCUUUUGUUGCCUCUAGUUCCUUGCUCCUUUUUUUCCAUGUGUUUGAUUAUCCCAAGCUGCUGACCAGAAACAUGCUGCUCUUCUGACAUGUGGUGGGUCAGAGAUGCUUUCACUAUCUUGAUAUUGUCCAGGCAUGUUCUAGCACACUUGGGAAAAUUGUUUGCACGAUAAACAGAUUACAUUCAAUUUGACAGUGCCCCAAAAGUUAUGAUUGGAUGGGGUGAUAAUAUUAUAUUCCAGAGAAACAACAGACACCUGAUCUGAGUUUCAUUCUAUAAAAAGGAUGUAGGUCAAAGCAAUGGAUGGAGGGGAAUUUUCCUGAUUUGCUAUGGAGAUUAAAGAUCAGAAGUUUAUUUUGUUUGUCAUUGAGUGUAAAUAAUGUAAUCUUCUGCAGAUAAAGGUCUAUAUGAGACGCUGUAAUUUAAUUUGUAUUAAGGCUGUGUCCAGAGUGAUGUGAGUUUGUUUCAGAAAUGUUUGCUCUAUGUUUGAGAAAAAAUUAUAACUUGAAAUUAGAAAGAGGAAAAGGAAUAAAGUGCUGGAUCUUGCAGAUAGUGAUCUCAUUGAGGAACCUGUUAUAGGUCAGCUGUGUCUUCUUCAAAGCUCUGAGUGUGAUCUGUAUUGCAAAUUAUUAAAUAUGUGCUAAGACAGAGUGGAGUAUGGCACAAUAAGGCAACUUGGAAAAAUUAUGUCAAGGCAUUGUAUGUGUUCAGCAAUUUUCUUUGCAAUCCUGCUCUAUUUUACAACCUAAUCUAUUCCCCACUAAGAUGUGCUAGAGAUAAACAUUGCAGAUGCCUUUGUGUGCAGAGAAGAAGGAGAGGCAAUUAAAAGUCUGCAUGCUGUGAAGUCUCUGGGUACCAACAGUGUCUGCCCAGACCUUUACAGUGUUUUAGGGAACAAUUGGUUUUCCUGCUGGCUGGGGUGACUGAAUGCAAAUAAUUUUUGAAUAAGGACAGUAACUCAGUUAUUUUCAUACUGGCUAAAGUCCUGCUGGUUUGCAUAAAGGUUUCCGUUUUUAUUUACUGGUAGCAAAGUCUUGGUGACAAAGUGGUUCCUUCAGAUCAGAUGCUGUUUUAUUAGAGCACAUCAUUUCAUUUCUGACAAAGAAAAGGCAAACUUCUGGUAAUGUAGUGAAAGAACCUGGGGCAGGGCAGUAUCUGGUAUUGGCCUCCAUCAAAGACAAGGAAAAGCACAAAAGAACCAAACUGCUGGCCAUGGUCUGAAUCAAACGGGAUUGCCUCCGAGCGUAGCAAGUGAGAGGGCUUUUCUUUCUUUUAACUUGCUCCCUCCUACAUCAUUACUGGGCUGAGUAAAAAAAAAAAAUUCUUUUGAAUAAUAAUAAAUGGGAUAAUUUGCUUCAAGAAAAGCUAGUGCCACAUAGGAGGCAGAUAAAGCUGCUCCAUGUGAGCUUUAUUUAUUUUUUCAUUAAAAAUUUUCAAAAUGCAAAUUCUAAAAGCAAGCAGCCAUUGUAAGGAAAAGAGGAACAACAAAAUGUUGUGUUUGCUUGUCAUUGCAGACCAUUUAUACUUCAGUAACUUCACUCCUAUGUGCAGUUUCUUGGCUGCAAGUACUGCUUGUCCGAAACAUGGAUUUUUGGUCUCAGACUUGUUCAGUCCAAAAUUCCUUUUCUUAUUUUAGAUAAAUAUAAUAAAGCUGUAUACAUUUUUUAUUUAUAUUGCAUGUAUAUUAUAUAUACAUGUUAUAUAUUACUUAUGUAAGUAUGUUGUUACUUAGAUAGGUAAGAAACUUAACCUAUAACUUUUAAGUACAAGUUUUUUUCCCAUGGUUUACAAUGCCAUGAAUUACUAAAUGUGUUACCAUACAGGUGUAGCUGGAGUGAGGCUUAGUUCUCAGGCAUUAAGAUGACCUUUGAACUUUGAUUAGCUGAUAAGUAUUUAUAGUUUCAGGUGUUGGCAAAGUCGGAAGCAGCCAAACAUUGGGAAGUGUAACUUGACUUUGCAGAUUUAAAUUAGGAUUUGCAUAUUGCCUUAUAUGGAACUUGACUUUGUUUCAAAUAACUUCUGCAUCUGGUUGUGUGGUGGGAGAGCACAGCCAAAUGUUUUAAAGACAUAUCAAAAGCCAUAGAGCCAUUUAAAUUGGAAGGAACCUCCCAGAUGGUCAGCCAUUAACCCAGAACUGCAAAGCCCACCACUAAACCAUGUCCCUAAGUGCCACAUCUAAGUGUCUUUUAAAUAAAUAAUAGCUGCUUGAGCUGCUAGAUGCUACCUCUGCUACACUGGGAUUGUUACAUUGAGAAACCAUGAUGUAACUGUAGUUAAAAUAAUCUCAUUAGCAGGAGCACAAAUCCCCUUUAACUAAAGUAGUUUUACAGUGUCACUGGAUUUCAAAAUGUAAACUUCUGAUUCUUGUGCUGUGGCCUGUGUAAGAGCUAAGAAGGUAACAAAAAUUAAUCUUGAAAUUCUGGAAUGAGUUUUGAGAUAUUAAUUAGAAUUUAAUAGGUGCCUAAGGAUUUUAUGCCACAAGACUCACUGAAAGUUUGUGGGUCUUGUGCUCUGCUUGGUGUUGCUCUGGUUUUUAAGAUUCAGGAUUCUGCAUACAUUUUCAGAGGCCUGGCUCCUGAAAGAAGGGCGUUUUCUUUGUCUUUCUUCCCCCUACCCCCUGAAGUUACACUUCUGUUUCUUGUAAAGAAAAGGCUGAAAGCGCCAAAGCAAGUAGAAAGGCUCAGAAAUGCAAAUAUAAACAAUUCUAAAUCUUUUUCAUGAUUUAACAACAGUCUCACACUUCAUGCUUGGCCUGGUGUAUGUCUUUUUCAGUGCCUGAAGCUGGUAAUGGUCAAAGUCCUAUUGAGAAUUUCACACCAUGUUCUGCUUCAGUCAAAUCAGAUGCAAUGAUGGUUCCAAGAAAGGCCCCCAUAAUCUGUGGCUGUAGGACAUAACUGCCUUUCUGUGAGGUACAGAAAGUAAGGUGCAGAGUUUAAAUUCCUCUUAGUACCUUUAUCAACUACAUCCAGCUUUCCACAGUCAUUUUGGGUUACUCAGAACUGUCAGGUAAGUCCCUUUUAAUCCAGCCUCAAUGUGAUCUGAAGCUGUCAGGGAACAAGGUGUGUGGAAUUCUGGAGCUUCCUGGCCAGCAGAAGCUGGAAACCCUAUGGGAUGGCAGGGGAAGGGAAGGCUGCUGACUCCUGGCAGAGAGAGCAUGCAGCACCAAUGCAGCAGCAGCCAGUCUUCUGCCAAAAGAAGUAUUAACCUGACAUGAUGCUUCCUAGAAUCAGGAAUCUUAGAGGAAUAAGCAAUUUCAGGGCUGAAAGAGGCUCCUAGGGAUCUCCUAACAUCACAAUGUAUUUAUUCCCUGUGAGUGAAUGCAGGAAAGAUGGAUGGGAAGAUGACUGAACAGAAGGGGUUUGUAGUACUUGCAGAGCCUGCUUUGGAGUCUGAAAGGCCAAAAAUAUGAUCACAAUAUUCAGCUGAGGGAUUGAAGAUGUGAUUUAGAAAUGGAACAGUUUGUCAAACUGAAGCUAAAGAUUGAACAGAUGCUGCCAAGCCCAGCGUCUGAUUUCAGUCCUGAUCUGGAAUAACUCCAGGGCUGUGCACGAAGCCAUCUCUUUCUUCCCUCCUAAGGGGGUGGUGGCAGGGAGGAGACUCAAGACCAUUGUUCUCCCUCCCCGUGUCCCUCCUGCAGCAGCAGCCAGCAUUGUUCCUUUUUAUUUACUUCCCCCUCUCUGUAAACCAGCAGGGCUCGCAGCAGAGGGAUGCAGCUCUCAUUAGAGUAAUUAGGCUGAUUUAUGAGAGAGAGGCACAGUGAAGGAGAGCUUUCCUAAUACAGUGUUCCCCACGGGAGGCUGGGCACCCUCCAGCUGCUGGCAGGGCAGUGCUGGGCCUCCCUGCCAGCUUGGGCUGGAGAGCCCCCUUCUCUUCCACCUUUCAUAGCAGUGAAAAUGGACAAACGCAUGCAAUAAAUGCUUUUUCCUUCACGUGAUAUUCUUCACAAGUUGUAUAUUCCACAUUAAUAUUAGAAGUCUAAUUAAAGUAAUAGAGGGAUCCUUCCUUAGUGUUAACUAAGCGUAGGUUUUGACUUAUAAAGGACUCUUCAAGCAAGUUUGCUGUGUCACUGCAACAGCAAGAGCUGCUAGGGCUUUGUUCCUCUCCCGCUCUGUGGAAGUUUUGCAUUACUUUUAUGAAAGGCUUAUGUAUGAUGAGUUAGGAAAUUGCCUUCUUCCAAAGAAUGUGGAUAUUCUUUGUUCAUCACAUUUCCUUGGUGUCUUCAUGGCAAGAUACAGUGUGUCCCUGGGAAGUCCUGCUGCACUUCGGAAGUCCCAUUUGAAAUGUGCGUGGGCCUAUUUAAAAACGCAUUUAAGCUUUUAAAAAUGUAUUAUACAAGCAAACAAAAAUAAAAUAUCAUUAGCAGUUCUGCCUGUUGUGUUUCUGCCAGGCACCAGGAUCAAACUUGCAAAACUUGCCAGCUGCCUGCACUUCCCAGUGCAAUAUUUGUGGUCACCUUUAUGGAAGAAAUGUACUCAUCAGUUGUCUUCACUAACAGAGUGGUAUUUAUAGUGCCUGAAGGGCAAUUAAAUAAUUUUGAAAUUA